RNAcentral lists this ribosomal RNA (440 nucleotides) under uncultured bacterium. RNAcentral's name for it is "partial 16S ribosomal RNA". It matches the Rfam family "Bacterial small subunit ribosomal RNA", at positions 338 to 795 of the family's 1533-position model. The record is from RNAcentral.
CCUACGGGAGACAGCAGUAGGGAAUAUUGCUCAAUGGGGGAAACCCUGAAGCAGCAACGCCGCGUGGAGGAUGAAGGUUUUCGGAUUGUAAACUCCUUUUGUUAGAGAAGAUAAUGACGGUAUCUAACGAAUAAGCACCGGCUAACUCCGUGCCAGCAGCCGCGGUAAUACGGAGGGUGCAGGCGUUACUCGGAAUCACUGGGCGUAAGGAGCGCGUAGGCGGUAUAGCAAGUCAGAUGUGAAAUCCUAUGGCUUAACCAUAGAACUGCAUUUGAAACUGUUAUUCUAGAGUAUGGGAGAGGUAGGUGGAAUUCUUGGUGUAGGGGUAAAAUCCGUAGAGAUCAAGAGGAAUACUCAUUGCGAAGGCGACCUGCUAGAACAUAACUGACGCUGAUGCGCGAAAGCGUGGGGAGCAAACAGGAUUAGAUACCCGUGUAGUC